AUUGAACGCUGGCGGCAUGCCUUACACACGCAAGUCGAACGGUAACAGGUCUUCGGAUGCUGACGAGUGGCGAACGGGUGAGUAAUACAUCGGAACGUGCCUAGUAGUGGGGGAUAACUACUCGAAAGAGUGGCUAAUACCGCAUGAGAUCUACGGAUGAAAGCAGGGGAUCGCAAGACCUUGUGCUACUAGAGCGGCCGAUGGCAGAUUAGGUAGUUGGUGGGAUAAAAGCUUACCAAGCCGACGAUCUGUAGCUGGUCUGAGAGGACGAUCAGCCACACUGGGACGGAGACACGGCCCAGACUCCUACGGGAGGCAGCGGUGGGGAAUUUUGGACAAUGGGCGAAAGCCUGAUCCAGCAAUGCCGCGUGCAGGAUGAAGGCCUUCGGGUUGUAAACUGCUUUUGUACGGAACGAAAAGCCCCGGGUUAAUACCCUGGGGUCAUGACGGUACCGUAAGAAUAAGCACCGGCUAACUACGUGCCAGCCGCCGCGGUAA
This 498-nucleotide ribosomal RNA is filed under the name uncultured bacterium. Its description in RNAcentral is "partial 16S ribosomal RNA". It matches the Rfam family "Bacterial small subunit ribosomal RNA", at positions 30 to 523 of the family's 1533-position model. The record is from RNAcentral.